GUUUGGGAAUGCUGCUCAAAAUGGGAGGUAAAUUUCUUCUAAAGCUAAAUACCGGCCAGAGACCGAUAGCGCACAAGUAGAGUGAUCGAAAGAUGAAAAGCACUUUGAAAAGAGGGUUAAAAAGUACGUGAAAUUGUUGAAAGGGAAGCGCCUGUGACCAGACUUGCGCCCCGCGGACCACCCGGCGUUCUCGCCGGUGCACUCUGCGGUGCGCAGGCCAGCAUCGGUUCUCCCAGGGGGACAAAGGCCGCGGGAACGUAGCUCCUUCGGGAGUGUUAUAGCCCGCGGCGGCAUGCCCCUGGGGGGACCGAGGACCGCGCUUCGGCAAGGAUGCUGGCGUAAUGGUCACCAGCGACCCGUCUU
This 363-nucleotide ribosomal RNA is filed under the name Sporothrix schenckii. RNAcentral's name for it is "partial large subunit ribosomal RNA". It matches the Rfam family "Eukaryotic large subunit ribosomal RNA", at positions 272 to 655 of the family's 3401-position model. The record is from RNAcentral. Lineage: Eukaryota; Fungi; Ascomycota; Sordariomycetes; Ophiostomatales; Ophiostomataceae.